CGCUGACUCGCAUACGCAAACGCGUUCGUAUACGUUUUUCUUUCGUUCCCGAAUCGGAGAAACCUCUGGCUCUUUUCACUGCAAACUCUGCAUCUUGACCGCGUUUUUUUUUUUCAAAGGCUGUGUACGCCAUUUGCUUCCGGCAUCCCUGCCUCACUCUCACACACACGCACACCUCCACUCCCCUCCUCUAUGCCGUACGUGUCCAGCGCAUCACCGAUGUUGGCUGGUCGCUCGCUUUUGCUGUCUCAGAAUCGCCUGGGAUGUCACCGUGCUGCUCUUCUCGGCGGCGCUGCGGCGAAUCUGCGUGUCUCUACUCGUCUAUCGACGGCAUCAGCGGCCACCAGCCGCGCACAGAGUGGUGCCCUCACCGUCUCCAAGCGUCAAUACCUCGGAUCCACGGUUAUCCCAAACUUCAUAACCCACUGCACUCAGAUCGGCGCCUGCACGUCUCUCUCCACCAUUCUCUAUAGUCCCAUCGGCACUGCCAUGACGAUCGUGCUCGCUUACAACGUCAUUGUGAUAUGCUCCAAGCAUGUGAACUACUCGCUGGAGAUUACGGCGAAGGACUACGUGCAGGACCAGCAACUACUGACUAUCAUGCGCUACGGCAUUCUUAGCUGCAUUCUUCUCGGGAUGGAGGUUAUGUUUAUCGAGAUUUGACAUGCUGCGCGGAGGGCAGGCAUGCCUCUGAGCAUGUAAAUCUGUGUCCCUGUUCACGUGUCUGCGCCCGGUUUGGGCACGACGAAGCCGCGCGAAACACUUGCCUCACCUUUUGCUCUCGCGUAUUUUCAGAAAGCGUGAAAGGCAUCUCAUCCGCGGGCGCGUGUCGUUGCUGUUUCCAGGCCAUACGGAAUGUUGGGCUGGGGUCACAGCUGCUCUGCCCGGCCAGUGUAUGUGUGUCUUGGACUUAAAAGAAGGGGGGAUUCCGUCCUUAUCCUCUUUGUGCAGCCCACUCAGUGCCUCGCGUAUUCAUGGGACGUGGCGUGCAAUCCGGGGUAGGCCAAAGUCGAGAAGAUGCACGUGAUGCGAUCUCGAGCAGAUCUGGAGAGAUGGAAAUGGCGCUCAUCUCUUUGUUUUUUUUUCUUAGGAAGCACACGGCACCGCCGGACUGGGAGAGGCCGAUGCCCAAGAACGGAGAAAAAAUAAAGUGCAUCCGUGCAGAAGCGGCACCGCACAGCCGCCCUUCCCAUGGCCUUUCUUAUGUUCUGGUAGAAAACGACCCCUUCCAGCUCGUGUGUGCCCAGUCGCUAUUAUAUAUAUAUAUAUAUAUAUAUGUAUACAUUCGCUGUUUUCGUUUGGCUGUCGUCUUUUAUCGGCGUUUCUGAUUUGUGUCGUAGCGUUAGUUUGGUCGGCUCCCCUCCCUCCUCCCCUAGCAUGAACGCUUAAGAAGUACCUCCUCUGAUGUCGUGUAGGUAUCUCUUCCCAUGAUGGUGCCAGCCACCGCACCGCGGUAUCAGGGUCCAGUGCCCCCACUCCGUGGGGAGCCCAAGAGCCUGCAUCCUGUCCUCGGGUACGGGUGCGGACUCUUGGUGCCAGCGGGCAGCUCUGUGCUGACACGGUGCGGGGGAGACGUGCGGUCGUGAUCACAUUUGUAUCAGCUCACUACGCAUCGUGCCGACGACCCAGCACGUAGUGGAAGAAGCGAUCCGUACCCAUCACCCCCUCCCCUACAGCGCAUGUGUGCGAAGCGCGUGGCACCUGCUGCAUCCGGCCGGGUGGGCCGAUGAGGUGCAGAUGCCGGCAGCAUGACGAGAGCACCCUCGAGUUGCACCACCGGGUCCUCCAGACUCCCGUGUGAAGAGCCUCCACACCAUAGUGUGGCAUGCCGCGGCUUGAAGCGACUGAGAGCGCGAAGCAAGGCACACGGGCAGGGUGCGCAGGGUCUCAGAAGGCCCUGACCUGAGGCUGGCCAACUUCCUCUCUGCGCCCAUCCAGCAUGCGAGUAACCCCCCCCUGCCUACCACCCGCACGGCCGACGCCACCGCUUGUGCCCUCGAGCAGCACCCUGGCCGCGGCCCGCGUUGGAUCGAUGCGUGCAGUCCAUCUGCGUCUCCGUGUGGGGCCGUUCACGGAGCACGCAUGCAUAGAAGGGACGAGGAAGGGAUGAGAAGAGCCCGUUCGGCGCAUGACCCCGAGAUGCAACGGCAGGGCGGCUCGUCCGAGACGACGACGGAUGUAGCUGCAGUGCGGCAGAGGUGGAUGAGCUGUGGCUGAGCAUGCGUAUACGUUUGCCGGCGUGACCUCGUGGUGAGGCGGCAUGUUGAAAAUGUUUUAAAAGGGCGUUAUCCCAUCGCCAUUUGCGUCUCUGCGUGCGUGUGCGUGUGUGUGCCGAUCGGAUGCGCAGCUUCUAGGACAGAGGAGAGGUACAUAGCGAGACGAAGAGGAGUCAGAAUGCCGCGUCUACUCCCCACGCUCACGCACAGGCCGAGCAACCCCCUCCCUUCCCUCUCAGCUGUGUACGUUGAGCUCCACACACGGAACGAG
This 2487-nucleotide unclassified non-coding RNA is filed under the name Leishmania donovani. Its description in RNAcentral is "gene:LdHU3.33.1870(CDS-product:hypothetical_prote in_conserved)". The record is from RNAcentral. Lineage: Eukaryota; Euglenozoa; Kinetoplastea; Trypanosomatida; Trypanosomatidae.